Pogoniulus pusillus (Red-fronted tinkerbird) is the source of this 2672-nucleotide long non-coding RNA. RefSeq lists it as uncharacterized. NCBI's taxonomy places the organism in Eukaryota, Metazoa, Chordata, Aves, Piciformes, Lybiidae. The transcript is spliced from 2 exons. The record is from RefSeq and is a predicted model, not a curated record.
GAACACAGAUGGUCUGGUACCAUGGUGGGGACCCUGGUGCUGCACUGGCUUUGAACUGGGUUGGAAGCUCUGCCUGCACACAGGCACUGAUUCAGCCACCAAAAGGCACAGAGAGGACCACUGCAGGGCACAGCAGUUACCUCGUCCUCCACCAGCAUGGCCUCACAGAACAACCCAGACAAGAGCUGGGAGGAGAAGGAGCACCAAGAGAAGAAGAUGGAGCAGCCAAAGUGCAGCCCUAAGAAAGCAGAGGAGGAAGAGGACAACAUAGAGGAGGAGGAUGAGAAUGAUGACUAUGAUGAUGCUGACUGUGAGGGGGAGAACGGUGAGGAUGCAUAUCACCAAGAUGAUGAAAAGAAGGAGGGGCACUGUCACAUUCACACCAGAGAGAAGCUGUUUCCCUGUGCUGAGUGUGGCAAGAGCUUCACCUACAGGUCUGCCCUCCAGCCCUCACACACCAGUGAGAAGCCUUUCACCUGUGCUGACUGUGGCAAGAGCUUCAUCCAGAAAUUCAAUCUUGCUAUCCACCAACACACACACGCUGGCAAGAAGCCUGUUGUGACUGCAGCAGGAGUUUCACUCAGAAGUCCUCUCUCAUCACACACCAUUGUGUCCACACUGGUGAGAAGCCCUACAGCUGUGCUGACUGUGGCAAGAGGUUCAAGAGCAGCUCCCAUCUCACCCGGCACUGCCUCAGCCAUGCCGCUGACCAGACCACACUGGGGGGAGGUCACAAAUAGACCCACCCUGGAUCUGUUGGGGUAAUUGGGACCACCCCAAGAGGGUGGUUCCAGCAGAUGGAACCAAAAUCACCUCUUUUUGACCUGCAUUUCUCAGGGGCUGGAGGCUCCAGCAGGAACAAGCAACCCCUGCCCUUCUAAACACCAACUACUGGGAAUUAAGAAUAAUUACACUGAUGAGUUUGCACAGCUGGUGCUGCCACUGGAGCUGUGCUGAGCUCUGCUAUGAUUUAUCUGGUUGUUCCCCAAUGCUGUGGGUCUCCUUGUCCAUUGUCCAGGUGUGAAUGAUAACCAAAGUUACCCAAAUCCUGUCAUUUCCAGUUUUAGUUGGGACAUUUCUUCCCACAGUGCCCAAAUGUUGGGGACCUUUGUUCCCUAAGAAUGGGGCUGGAGCCAUGUACCCAGUUCAGGAAAGCCAAAGGGAGGCUGUCAGAGUAGUCUUGAGAGCACCGUGGAAGGGUUUCAGGGUGUGAUGGUUUGAGUGUUACCUGCCCCCACCACUAUAUACAGCUAUAUAGAGAAAUACAGAACUCAGCCCUCCUACCACCUGCAGCCUUGACCCUCCAUGUCUCCAUCCAUUGCCCCAUCUGCACUCCCUUUGUGCCUUCUGAAUCCCCAGGGAGCCACCAAGGUCCAAGGGCUGAUCUACACACCCAGUAUGGCCCAGCAGAAGGCCCUGGAGGAGACCCCCCUCCGGAAUAAGUUAGAGGACCUCAAGUGAACAAGCUGCAGGGGUGGCCAGGUGAAGCUCAUGAGGUCUUCCACCUGGGCUGGAACAAGCCUCACAAUCAGCAUAGGCUGGGAGAGGAGCUGAUAGAAAGCAGUCCUGCAGAAAAGCACUUGGGGACUUUGGUGCAGAAGCAGCUGGACAUGAGCAGGCAGUGUGUGAUCGUUUGGGUGUACCCUGCACCCCCACACUUUAGAAAUACCCAACUAGACUCAGCUGGCUCUGGGAAUAUAAAUGAAGCUAUUUAUUUACAGCAGCACUAUGUACAAGCAGCUAUUUACAAUAUAUACAGUUAUAGACAGAAAUACACAAGGUAAAAGUAAUACAGAAACACAACUCCCGUCCCAGAAACCUGAGUCCCUGGGAGGGGCUCUCAACCACCUCUUCACCUUCCCCCUGCCCCUCUUAACCUUACCCCAGUCCUAAGGAGGAAAAGAGGUUCAGCCAAGAGGUUAAGGAGCAAAGGUGAGUGGAAGGUGAGGUUAGGGAGCUGCAGCUCAGUCAAAAGCCCAAAGCAGAGUGUGACAAAAUGGUGAGAGUGUUAUCUAAUGUUUACUUUCUUCUUCAGCAAGACUCUGAGGGGAGUAGACAUCACCAUUGUUUUCCUUUCACAGCCUAUGAUCUAGUUCUUCUCACCAAAACAUUCUACCCUGCUUCAAACUAGCACAAUCCACCCCUGUCUACUUCACUCGGAGUAUCGCUGAGAAUUAUCUGAUCUAAUCUAAACCAAUGUUUACACUAAUGAAUAUUACAAGUUCAGUUCACACUUCAUUUGGCUAUCUCAGAUGUAGGUGAUUCAAAAGCUCAGAACAGUUUGUCUCCUUACAGAUAAGACGAGAACAGGGACUCCCAGGUGAUGUUGGGUUUGGGCUCAUGUACUGUAGAGUCUCUCGUGGAUUCUUUCAGUGUUGGAUGCCGAUGGUACCUAGAACAGAAAACUCCUAACAGCUUUAUUAUCCACGCUGAAUUUAAACUCUCUCAGCUAAGGUUAGAUUUCUCUGUGGCUGUUGUGAUAUGGAGUUUAGGGGAAUUUAUGGGGAAAAACAUGCGAGGCCGAUUAUAAAAGAAGGUUAAAUGAUUUAUUACUAAAACACUCGAAAUCCCCUUCCCCAAAACUUAUUUAUAACUAUCCCAUGUAAGUUCUUGAUUCACGGUUGCAGAUUAAAAUAGAAAAUGGCUAAAAUAAAGAGAGUCUGUGAUUUUAA